Long non-coding RNA from Sinocyclocheilus anshuiensis, 574 nucleotides. RefSeq lists it as uncharacterized. Lineage: Eukaryota; Metazoa; Chordata; Actinopteri; Cypriniformes; Cyprinidae. The transcript has 3 exons. The record is from RefSeq and is a predicted model, not a curated record.
UUUAAUAACGUUUAGCUCAGGAGUUAUUGAUCAGGUAAGUUCGAAUCUAUGAAUAUGUUGCCAACUUGACCGAACUUCGACGCAUAGUGCAAUAUUUUUAAUCAGUUUUUAUAUACAUAAUCGUAGGCGUCGUCUAAAAGCUCUAAAAUGCUAUUUUCCGAGUCGAGGUUGGAUGAAAGUUCUUAAUUCAGAAACAGAUUAAUUAGGACCAGCGCUUAAAGUGACCCAACCCCUCCCAGCGCGAUUUGAACGUUAGUAACUUUAUGUUCGUCGGCACUUUUUCCCUCUUCAAGCACUGGUUAUUACGCCUGUAUAAUGAAAUUCGCUUAACUAACAUCAGUUGGACUGCACGUUUUACUUUCAGAUAUAAUCACACUGAUGAUCUGAACUAUCCGAGAGAGGACCAGAUGUUCCAUGAAGUGGAUCAGACAACCUUGCCCUCUGAAGUAGACUGUGCCAAACUUCCAAGUACACCCUGCAUAAUUGUGUGUGGAAGUUCCCCUUUGACUGCAGAGAACUUUAUGUUUUCUGUCAACCAAGUCAUAGUUAACAGCCACAUCACCAUCUUCUGCGA